Molecule: ribosomal RNA, 328 nt
Filed under: uncultured eukaryote
Lineage: Eukaryota
Description: partial 18S ribosomal RNA
Rfam family: Eukaryotic small subunit ribosomal RNA
Source: RNAcentral
CCCUUAGAUGUUCUGGGCCGCACGCGCGUUACACUGAUGCAUUCAAUGAGCUUAUAACCUUGGCCGAGAGGCCUGGGCAAUCUUGUUAACGUGCAUCGUGAUAGGGAUAGAUUAUUGAAAUUAUUAAUCUUGAACGAGGAAUUCCUAGUAAACGCAGAUCAUCAAUCUGCAUUGAUUACGCCCCUGCCCUUUGUACACACCGCCCGUCGCACCUACCGAUUGGAUGGUCCGGUGAAGCCUCGGGAUUGUGGUUCUUGCCGCUUUAUUGUGGCGUGACCGCGAGAACUUGUCUAAACCUUAUCAUCUAGAGGAAGGUGAAGUCGUAACA